This 497-nucleotide ribosomal RNA is filed under the name uncultured bacterium. Its description in RNAcentral is "partial 16S ribosomal RNA". It matches the Rfam family "Bacterial small subunit ribosomal RNA", at positions 28 to 507 of the family's 1533-position model. The record is from RNAcentral.
GAUGAACGCUGGCGGCGUGCCUAAUACAUGCAAGUCGAGCGAACAGACGAGGAGCUUGCUCCUCUGACGUUAGCGGCGGACGGGUGAGUAACACGUGGAUAACCUACCUAUAAGACUGGGAUAACUUCGGGAAACCGGAGCAAAUACCGGAUAAUAUAUUGAACCGCAUGGUUCAAUAGUGAAAGACGGUGUUGCGGUCACUUAUAGAUGGAUCCGCGCCGCAUUAGCUAGUUGGUAAGGUAACGGGUUACCAAGGCAACGAUGCGUAGCCGACCUGAGAGAGUGAUAGGCCACACUGGAACGGAGACACGGACCAGACUCCUACGGGAGGCAGCAGUAGGGAAUCUUCGGCAAUGGGCGAAAGCCUGACGGAGCAACGCCGCGUGAGUGAUGAAGGUCUUCGGAUCGUAAAACUCUGUUAUUAGGGAAGAACAAAUGUGUAAGUAACUAUGCACGUCUUGACGGUACCUAAUCAGAAAGCCACGGCUAACUACGUG